This 436-nucleotide ribosomal RNA is filed under the name uncultured Oscillospiraceae bacterium. Its description in RNAcentral is "bacterial SSU rRNA". It matches the Rfam family "Bacterial small subunit ribosomal RNA", at positions 341 to 792 of the family's 1533-position model. The record is from RNAcentral. Lineage: Bacteria; Bacillati; Bacillota; Clostridia; Eubacteriales; Oscillospiraceae.
ACGGAAGGCAGCAGUGGGGGAUAUUGCACAAUGGGCGAAAGCCUGAUGCAGCAACGCCGCGUGAGGGAAGACGGUUUUCGGAUUGUAAACCUCUGUCUUCGGUGACGAACAAAUGACGGUAGCCGAGGAGGAAGCCACGGCUAACUACGUGCCAGCAGCCGCGGUAAUACGUAGGUGGCAAGCGUUGUCCGGAUUUACUGGGUGUAAAGGGUGCGCAGGCGGGAUAGCAAGUCAGCUGUGAAAACUAUGGGCUUAACCUGUAGACUGCAGUUGAAACUGUUGUUCUUGAGUGGAGCAGAGGUAGGCGGAAUUCCGAGUGUAGCGGUGAAAUGCGUAGAUAUUCGGAGGAACACCAGUGGCGAAGGCGGCCUACUGGGCUCUAACUGACGCUGAGGCACGAAAGCAUGGGGAGCAAACAGGAUUAGAUACCCUGGUA